This 300-nucleotide unclassified non-coding RNA is filed under the name Glomus sp. Its description in RNAcentral is "partial contains 5.8S ribosomal RNA, internal transcribed spacer 2, and large subunit ribosomal RNA". The stretch from base 1 to 65 matches the Rfam family "5.8S ribosomal RNA", at positions 84 to 154 of the family's 154-position model. The record is from RNAcentral. Lineage: Eukaryota; Fungi; Glomeromycota; Glomeromycetes; Glomerales; Glomeraceae.
GUGAAUCAUCGAAUUUUUGAGCGCAAAUUGCACUCUCCUCGGAGAGUAUGCCUGUUUGAGGGUCGGCCUAUAAAAAAUCGACAUCGUUGCUGUUUCACGGUGACGUUCGUCGGAAAUUGGGUCAUCUUAAAUCUUUUGGUUUAAGCGACUUAAAAAUUUCUUUGAUUCCAUGAACGUCUCUAAGAUUUUUCUUUACACGUUUAAGGUAUCGAUUUAUUAGACGUGGCCGUCAUAUCGGAUCGCGUCCAUAAUCUUUCAUUAACUGACCUCCGACAGGUAAGAGUACCCGCUGAACUUAAG